CCUCAGCUGUAGAAAAACCGUACCGCAAACCGACACUGGUAGGCAGGGUGAGAAUCCCAAGGCGCUUGAGAGAACUCGGGUGAAGGAACUAGGCAAAAUGGCACCGUAACUUCGGGAGAAGGUGCGCCCUUUGGUGUGGUCACGUGCGUGACUGAGCAUCGAAGGGUCGCAGUAACCUGGCCGCUGCGACUGUUUAUCAAAAACACAGCACUCUGCAAACACGAAAGUGGACGUAUAGGGUGUGACGCCUGCCCGGUGCUGGAAGGUUAAUUGAUGGGGUCAGCCGCAAGGCGAAGCUCUUGAUCGAAGCCCCAGUAAACGGCGGCCGUAACAAUAACGGUCCUAAGGUAGCGAAAUUCCUUGUCGGGUAAGUUCCGACCUGCACGAAAGGCGUAACGACAGCGGCGCUGUCUCCACCCGAGACUCAGUGAAAUUGAAAUCGCUGUGAAGAUGCAGCGUUCCCGCGGCAAGACGGAAAGACCCCGUGAACCUUUACUAUAGCUUUACAUUGAACGUUGAGUUCUUCUGUGUAGGAUAGGUGGGAGGCUAUGAAACCGAGACGCUAGUUUCGGUGGAGCCAUCCUUGAAAUACCACCCUGAAGUGCUUGACGUUCUAACCUAGGUCCGUAAUCCGGAUCGGGGACCAUGUAUGGUGGGUAGUUUGACUGGGGCGGUCUCCUCCCAAAGAGUAACGGAGGAGCACGAAGGUACGCUCAUCGCGGUCGGACAUCGCGCACUGUGUGCAAAGGCAUAAGCGUGCUUGACUGCGAGAUCGACGGAUCAAGCAGGUACGAAAGUAGGUCUUAGUGAUCCGGUGGUUCUGUAUGGAAGGGCCAUCGCUCAACGGAUAAAAGGUACUCCGGGGAUAACAGGCUGAUACCGCCCAAGAGUUCAUAUCGACGGCGGUGUUUGGCACCUCGAUGUCGGCUCAUCACAUCCUGGGGCUGUAGCCGGUCCCAAGGGUAUGGCUGUUCGCCAUUUAAAGUGGUACGCGAGCUGGGUUCAGAACGUCGUGAGACAGUUCGGUCCCUAUCUGUCGUGGGCGUUGGAGAUUUGAGGGGGGCUGCUCCUAGUACGAGAGGACCGGAGUGGACGUUCCGCUGGUGUUCGGGUUGUCAUGCCCAUGGCAUUGCCCGGUAGCUACGAACGGAAGUGAUAACCGCUGAAAGCAUCUAAGCGGGAAGCACGCCCCAAGAUGAGAUCUCCCGAGAGCUAGACUCUCCUUAAGGCACCAUCAAGACUAGGUGGUUGAUAGGCGCGGUGUGGAAGUGCAGCAAUGCAUUGAGCUUACGCGUACUAAUGAGCCGUGAGGCUUGACC
RNAcentral lists this ribosomal RNA (1319 nucleotides) under metagenome. Its description in RNAcentral is "bacterial LSU rRNA". It matches the Rfam family "Bacterial large subunit ribosomal RNA", at positions 1625 to 2925 of the family's 2925-position model. The record is from RNAcentral.